UCAGCGAGAGAGCGUUGCCGCAGGCAACGACCCGAAGGGCGAAGCGCGCAGCGCUGAGUAAUCCUUCCCCCACCACCA
Molecule: small RNA, 78 nt
Filed under: Escherichia coli
Lineage: Bacteria; Pseudomonadati; Pseudomonadota; Gammaproteobacteria; Enterobacterales; Enterobacteriaceae
Description: partial RtT sRNA
Rfam family: RtT RNA
About the family: This family represents a bacterial cis-regulatory element known as RtT RNA. The exact function of RtT is unknown although it is thought that it may be involved in changing the cellular response in relation to amino acid starvation.
Source: RNAcentral